CAGUCGCCGCGGGAAUACAGAGGGUGCAAGCGUUAAUCGGAUUUACUGGGCGUAAAGGGCGCGUAGGUGGUUAUGUAAGUGAGAUGUGAAAUCCCCGGGCUCAACCUGGGAACUGCAUCUUAUACUGCGUAGCUGGAGUGCAGUAGAGGGUAGUGGAAUUUCCGGUGUAGCGGUGAAAUGCGUAGAUAUCGGAAGGAACUCCAGUGGCGAAGGCGGCUACCUGGACUGACACUGACACUGAGGCGCGAAAGCGUGGGGAGCAAACAGGAUUAGAUACCCCCGUAGUCCCUGUCUCUUAUAU
RNAcentral lists this ribosomal RNA (301 nucleotides) under uncultured bacterium. RNAcentral's name for it is "partial 16S ribosomal RNA". It matches the Rfam family "Bacterial small subunit ribosomal RNA", at positions 509 to 809 of the family's 1533-position model. The record is from RNAcentral.